AGUGAACGCUGGCGGUAGGCCUAACACAUGCAAGUCGAACGGCAGCACAAGAGAGCUUGCUCUCUGGGUGGCGAGUGGCGGACGGGUGAGGAAUACAUCGGAAUCUACUCUGUCGUGGGGGAUAACGUAGGGAAACUUACGCUAAUACCGCAUAUGACCUACGGGUGAAAGCCGGGGACCUUCGGGCCUUGCGCGAUUGAAUGAGCCGAUGUCGGAUUAGCUAGUUGGCGGGGUAAAGGCCCACCAAGGCGCAGAUCCGUAGCUGGUCUGGGAGGAUGAUCAGUCACACUGGAACUGAGACACGGUCCAGACUCCUACGGGAGGCAGCAGUGGGGAAUAUUGGACAAUGGGCGCAAGCCUGAUCCAGCCAUACCGCGUGGGUGAAGAAGGCCUUCGGGUUGUAAAGCCCUUUUGUUGGGAAAGAAAUCCAGCUGGCUAAUACCCGGUUGGGAUGACGGUACCCAAAGAAUAAGCACCGGCUAACUUCGUGCCAGCAGCCGCCGUAA
This 506-nucleotide ribosomal RNA is filed under the name uncultured bacterium. RNAcentral's name for it is "partial 16S ribosomal RNA". It matches the Rfam family "Bacterial small subunit ribosomal RNA", at positions 29 to 523 of the family's 1533-position model. The record is from RNAcentral.